GAUGAACGCUAGCGGGAGGCCUAGCACAUGCAAGCCGAGCGGUAUUUGUUCUUCGGAACAGAGAGAGCGGCGCACGGGUGCGGAACACGUGUGCAACCUGCCUUUAUCUGGGGGAUAGCCUUUCGAAAGGAAGAUUAAUACCCCAUAAUAUAUUGAGUGGCAUCACUUGAUAUUGAAAACUCCGGUGGAUAGAGAUGGGCACGCGCAAGAUUAGAUAGUUGGUGAGGUAACGGCUCACCAAGUCAAUGAUCUUUAGGGGGCCUGAGAGGGUGAUCCCCCACACUGGUACUGAGACACGGACCAGACUCCUACGGGAGGCAGCAGUGAGGAAUAUUGGACAAUGGGUUAGCGCCUGAUCCAGCCAUCCCGCGUGAAGGACGACGGCCCUAUGGGUUGUAAACUUCUUUUGUAUAGGGAUAAACCUACUCUCGUGAGAGUAGCUGAAGGUACUAUACGAAUAAGCACCGGCUAACUCCGUG
Molecule: ribosomal RNA, 479 nt
Filed under: uncultured bacterium
Lineage: Bacteria
Description: partial 16S ribosomal RNA
Rfam family: Bacterial small subunit ribosomal RNA
Source: RNAcentral